UUUUAUAUUAUUGUUUUGUUUAAUUUUAAUUUUUUACGCCCAUCCAUUCUUCCUCUGCUGGCCAGAGUAAUAAUUGCAGUAUUUAAAUCCUUUGUGAUGCACCUAAAAUGUACUUACUUACUUACCUACUUACUUAGCAAGUGCUUAAAAUGAAUGAUGUAGCCAAACACUUUAGAAUAUGACCUGACAGGUCAUUGAGCAUUGCUGCUAAAAUGUGUGGACCUUAAUGCAUUAAGCAUCUUGAUCCAAUUGGGAUAUUAGAGUGUAGAAGUAGUUUAAUGUGUUAGCUCAACUGCCACAUUAAGAAAUGUAUUACUAAUCUUAGAUUAAACAUUUUUUGAGGACAUACACGGUGAAUGCAGGUUAUAAUGCAUCAUGGAAUACAGAGGCAAAUACUCGUAUGUGUCACAUCAUUAUGUGUUUAGAAGUGAUUUUUGUCUUGUCACAUUCCAGCUUGCGGCUUGCAAAAAUAUGAAGUAAUCGCAGCUUGACGGGGUGGAUGUGCACACACUUCUGUUCUUUCUUCAAAAGAUAGUAGUUCUACAAAACACACAACAAUCCCAAUUACUACUGUGCUAUAAUUUUGACGUAACUGCUGCUCUACAUUGUACUUGUUUCACUAUAUGAAUAUGUUUUUGUGUUUACCUCAGGGUGUGUGUGUGUGUGUGUGUGUGUGUGUGUGUGUGUGUGUGUGUGUGUGUGUGUGUGUGUGUGUGUGUGUGUGUGUGUUUCUGUGUUUCUAUUUGUUUUGGGGUUUUUUUGUUUGUUUGUUUGUUUUUUAUCGAUUUCCUCAUGUCUCCACCUUUCCACAUCUCUUCAAACAAGAAAGAUUGGUUUAAAAAGCCACCCAUCAUCAGUGGGUGUUACUUCACAUUAGCAUUAAUACAUACAACACUGCUAGCUGAACAGUGGGAUUACAGUUGGAAACCAGGAAGUAGGAACGAUUCCUACUUCUACAUCCUUAUUGUCAAACCUGAUUUAAAAGCAAUUGCAUAUGUUGACAACUCUGCAAAUAUAGGUUUGACUUUAUGAAGCUUUAUUGAAAAAUUUGUAUUUUAUAAAGCACCCAUCAAUAUUAAGGAAUGUCUAGUCAAGGAGCUCUAGUAGUCUAGUUUAAUUAGCCUUUAAACUUGAUUAGAUUAUCUGCCUUCAUCCUUUUGCUAAUGAAAGUGAAAACAUCAUUCUCAUAGACAUGUUUUGAUUUUUCUUUUUUUUUUUUUAUAAGCUGCUGAAUUUUAAAAAUAAGUAAUACUUUUGGGGCCACCAAAUAUUUUGGAUCAUGCAAAGACUCUAUAUUGUACUGUAGUAAUUUUGUAAUAUUUGUAAGAUGAUAUAGUGGGUGUGACUGGUUACCAUAGCUUGAAUCUGUACAUUGUUCCAAUA
Molecule: long non-coding RNA, 1383 nt
Organism: Astatotilapia calliptera (eastern happy)
Lineage: Eukaryota; Metazoa; Chordata; Actinopteri; Cichliformes; Cichlidae
Source: Ensembl